Molecule: long non-coding RNA, 2480 nt
Organism: Lytechinus pictus (painted urchin)
Lineage: Eukaryota; Metazoa; Echinodermata; Echinoidea; Temnopleuroida; Toxopneustidae
Exons: 3
Source: RefSeq, a predicted model, not a curated record
UUUGCUUGGCAUUUGCUUGACUUAAUUUUGCUUGAUUCCGUAAAAAUGAGCGAGCAAAUGAUUUUGCUAUAGUAAGCUCGAGCGAUUGCUAACUGCGCCUGCUAGAAUUAACCGUCUUAACUAUUUCCUCGUGAAAGAAAUUCUGUAGGGAUCUGCGAUCGUUUCCUAACAAUUACAGAAUUAUUUACUUCGCAGAAAGUCCACGACAUAAAAGAGAGGAGUCCUUUCGUCGGCGUACUACUCACUCUUUUCCCGGACUCUUUUUUUGUUAUAUUACGUAACGUCUCAGAAUGCGAGGUGAGCGACAAUCUCCAACCCACAACCCUCACUAUAUCUCAAAGGGAUAAACGAGUAUAGGCUCUCAGGUACCUUAAUGACUUCUAUAAUUGGGCGAUAACAUCGUUUACCUCCUGGAACAAAAUGGCGCUUUGAAAUUAAAUUCAUAUUUUGGAUAAUUCAGUGCUAUAGAGAGAGGAGAGCAGAGGUGAUCAGAAUGAAUCGAGACAGAAUAUCCUAUUACUAUGACCAAGAAAGUUCUGGAAAUCCAGUCUUCACAGUUCAAAAUGAUGUCAACCGUCAUAGCACCAGGCACAACCAGCACUCAUCAAGACCGAAUCAUGACCGGGAAGAACCAACAUAUCACGCCAAUUGGAAGUUUAAUAGAAAUUCUUCUGAAUCUGAUCGACGACAUUCAGAAUUGAGAUUAAACGCAAACAUAAGCAAAUUUAAUUCUUCUCAUGAAACUAAUUUCAGAGAGAAUUCAUCUAAGAGACGCGGUCAGAUGACACCUUCAAAUCCAACCGAUUUUAAGCAACACUCGAUGAAACAAGCACUCCACAAUCAAAACUAUUUCCCGGAGAUGACCUAUAUGGAAGGGAAUGAAACAAACAGAAGUCGGAAAAUUGCAAUUUGUUCAGUAAUUGUUCUCAUUGUUCUCUCAAUGCUAAUCAUCCUUGGAGCCGGUAUUUAUGUCAUCCUUUCAUUCUUAGGUGAGUAUAUGCCCCUCAUGUCCCCAUGGGGGCAUGAGGGGCAUCUUUUCCUUUGGUAUUUUACACUUAUUUCCUUGAUGAGUUUCGAUACCAAUAACUGCGUGGAUCUCAGUCUAGUCUAUUACGCGUUUUUUUUAAUAAAUAUUUUCAAAUGACAAGGAUCAAUCUAGGUGUCAUAAGAUUGUUCGUGCAGAAUAUUAUUAAUCACCUUUUGUUUUAUUUGGGAAAAUAUAUGCAUAUCUUAAGAUAGAAGCGAUAUUAUUAUUAAUUGUUUAUCAUUUAUAAUCCCAAUUUUCUGGGUUUCUCCCUUAUCCAGAAUUUAAUUAGCACAAAGCGUGUGGAGAUCGUGUAACUUUCAAUGUUAUCGAUUUUGCGGAUCGAAAAAUAAUCAGAGAAAUCGUCUGCUUUUCAAGUUUGCUGCUCCAAAUAUUAAUGUUGAUUGAAAGACAUUCUGGAACAGGGCUUCAGCCAACAAAAUCAAAUCCAGGGAAACUAUUUUGUAAAUAAUCAGAGACGUCUUGUCAAAACAUCUGUAUGAUUUAAAUAAAAUGCACUUUAUGCAGUAAUAUCAAGCGACGGACACUAGUUGCAUCAUUAAAUUUUUAUGACUGGAGUUCCAGGGGCAACAAAUUUAUUCCAAAAGAUGUUCAUGUCUAAAGAAACUAAAAAGAAGUAUGACAGUAAUGUUGCCUUUGAUGUCCGCCUUUCGAAGCCGCCAGUUUCAUGGGGGAAAUCCGAGGAGUGAUUUUUAGAAAUAUAAUCAUUUUGUACUGAUAUUUCAUCUUUUAUAUCAAUAAACACACUGGGAUCUGAACACGCGAUAAAACUUAAAUAUCGAAGUAAAAUUGGGCCGAUAAAUUUGCCCAGAUGGUAUUAAGUAACCCUUAAUUAGUAAAAAGUAAAAAUUUGACCUAUUAUCUAAACUAGAUUUUGACUCUUUUCCGAUUGUUCCCGAGUCCCGACAAAUGAAAAUUUAAAAUGCGGUCGUUUGAAUAUUGUUGCUUAUCAUUAAUUUUUAUUUGUCAGAUUAGUGCCCGUACCUGCCCAGUCGAGUAAAAUUUUAGUCAUAUUCCAGGAAAUAUUGCAUAAUUUCUUUUCGCAUGCCCCCGAAAAAUAGCGAUAAAUUUUUAGAUGCAUUACUUUUGCAAACAAAGAACUUAAUAAUAAAGAGUGUUUGUUUCCAUGUGCAAUUAUAGAAUCCAGUCAAUAUGAAAUGUUUAUGCAUUUAAAUAAACAACGUUAUGCUAUUAUCAGAUGGUAAAGCCUAGUAAAAAAAAACAAAAACAUAUAAUUAUCAUUAUUGACUACAUUCAUAAAUUAUAUUGUUGAAAACACUAAGAUGACUUGAUAUAUUAUGAUUAACAAUUACAUGUGUUAUGAAAUUAAAAUUAGAAUAUAAGUUUAUAUAAUGUUGUCAAAAGAAGUGCACACAAAAUACAGUGUAUGUCCUUUAUAGACCCUAUUCUCAAUGCAAAUAUUCAAUUGCUGUUU